RNAcentral lists this transfer RNA (72 nucleotides) under Camelus bactrianus (Bactrian camel). It matches the Rfam family "tRNA". From Rfam's summary of the family: Transfer RNA (tRNA) molecules are approximately 80 nucleotides in length. Their secondary structure includes four short double-helical elements and three loops (D, anti-codon, and T loops). The record is from Rfam by way of RNAcentral. Lineage: Eukaryota; Metazoa; Chordata; Mammalia; Artiodactyla; Camelidae. RNAcentral also lists the same sequence under 2 other names.
GAGGGUGUAGCUCAGUGGUAGAGCGCGUGCCUAGCAUGCACAAGGUCCUGGGUUCAAUCCCCAGUACCUCCA